Molecule: long non-coding RNA, 142 nt
Organism: Haliotis rubra (blacklip abalone)
Lineage: Eukaryota; Metazoa; Mollusca; Gastropoda; Lepetellida; Haliotidae
Exons: 4
Source: RefSeq, a predicted model, not a curated record
CCCUGCACGACGCUGUUCCAAUCUCAUUUGCGCAUGUAUUAGCUCUAGAAUUGCCACAGUUAUCCAAGUAGGAUUGUAUCGUCUAAGGAACCAUAACUGAUCUAAUGAGCCAUUCGCAGUUUCACUGUGCUAGAGUUGGUAC